RNAcentral lists this ribosomal RNA (186 nucleotides) under Williopsis saturnus. Its description in RNAcentral is "Cyberlindnera saturnus ribosomal RNA". Lineage: Eukaryota; Fungi; Ascomycota; Saccharomycetes; Phaffomycetales; Wickerhamomycetaceae. The record is from RNAcentral.
CUCUCUCAAACCUUAGGGUUUGGUAUUGAGUGAUACUCUCUUCUGGGUUAACUUGAAAUAGUGUACUGGCAAGAGUGUGCUUUUGUGGCCUCUUGACUGAGAUAAUGUAUUAGGUUCUACCAACUCGUUAUAGCAGUUCAAUUGUCCCUUUGGCAUAUCCAGCUCGGCCUGACAAUCUUCUAAAGU